AGUCAAAGCAAAACCCUAGGAAAGCAAUUAUGGCUCUUGAAGCAUGCAAAGCACACAAAUUAUUUUAUAUACGGGGAAAGUUUCAAAAGCUUCUCGUGGAUUUUGUUCACCCCAAGCUGAUUCUUCAGGCCAUUCAAACCUCUUUGGUAAAGUGU
Non-coding RNA from Camellia sinensis, 155 nucleotides. The record is from RefSeq and is a predicted model, not a curated record. Lineage: Eukaryota; Viridiplantae; Streptophyta; Magnoliopsida; Ericales; Theaceae.